Molecule: long non-coding RNA, 291 nt
Filed under: Physcomitrium patens
Lineage: Eukaryota; Viridiplantae; Streptophyta; Bryopsida; Funariales; Funariaceae
Description: long non-coding RNA (PPAT_LNC003589)
Source: RNAcentral
CAAUACUUAGAAUUGUUUCAAAAUUUAAAGAAAAAAAAUGUGCCAUGAAUAAUAAUGCUCAUAAAAAAAAUUUAAAGACAACCCUAAUUUAGAAUCUUUAGGUAUAAAAAUAUAGCCACAAUUUCAAUUACGCAACCUUUAAUUUAAAAAAUGUUCUCUUUGACUUGUAAAAAUUCAUAAUCCAUAUUAAUAUAGAAUAUUAGAAUUUUAUCUUUAAGUCAAAACAAUCAUACAAUAUGAUAUAAGCCAUUAUAUACAUAAAGCGCACUCUCUAAUAUUGUGAAACCUCUU